UAUGGCAGACUACAGUGCAUAGGAUCUAAACUCCUAUAAUAAAGAUAAAUUUAUCAAUCUUUUAUUAAAA
RNAcentral lists this transfer RNA (70 nucleotides) under Temnothorax obturator. RNAcentral describes it as "tRNA-Leu". Lineage: Eukaryota; Metazoa; Arthropoda; Insecta; Hymenoptera; Formicidae. The record is from RNAcentral.